GACGAACGCUGGCGGCGUGCUUAACACAUGCAAGUCGAGCGGAAAGGCCCUGCGUUUGUGGGGUGCUCGUGUGGCGAGCGGGUGAGUAACACGUGAGUAACCUGCCCUUGUCUUUGGGAUAACUUCAGGGAACUCGGGCUAAUACCGGAUAGGAUCUCCUGCUGCAUGGUGUGCGUUAGAGAGUUUCGGCUGUUGGGGAUGGACUGGCGGGUUAUCAGCUUGUUGGUGGGGUAGUGGCUUACCAAGGUUUUGACGGGUAGCCGGCAUGAGAGGGGUACCGGGCACAAUGGGACUGCGAUACGGCCCAGACGCCUACGGGAGGCAGCAGUGGGGAAUAUGGCAGAAUGGGCGGAAGUCUGAUGCAGCAACGCCGCGUGCGUGAUGAUGGCCUUCGGGUUGUAAACCGCUUUCGCAUGUGACGAAGAGUGAGUGACGGUAACGGGUAAAGAAGCACCGGCUAACUACGUG
RNAcentral lists this ribosomal RNA (468 nucleotides) under uncultured bacterium. RNAcentral's name for it is "partial 16S ribosomal RNA". It matches the Rfam family "Bacterial small subunit ribosomal RNA", at positions 28 to 507 of the family's 1533-position model. The record is from RNAcentral.